UUAUUGGGCGUAAGGGCUCGCAGGCGGUUUCUUAAGUCUGAUGUGAAAGCCCCCGGCUCAACCGGGGAGGGUCAUUGGAAACUGGGAAACUUGAGUGCAGAAGAGGAGAGUGGAAUUCCACGUGUAGCGGUGAAAUGCGUAGAGAUGUGGAGGAACACCAGUGGCGAAGGCGACUCUCUGGUCUGUAACUGACGCUGAGGAGCGAAAGCGUGGGGAGCGAACAGGAUUAGAUACCCUGGUAGUCCACGCCGUAAACGAUGAGUGCUAAGUGUUAGGGGGUUUCCGCCCCUUAGUGCUGCAGCUAACGCAUUAAGCACUCCGCCUGGGGAGUACGGUCGCAAGACUGAAACUCAAAGGAAUUGACGGGGGCCCGCACAAGCGGUGGAGCAUGUGGUUUAAUUCGAAGCAACGCGAAGAACCUUACCAGGUCUUGACAUCCUCUGACAACCCUAGAGAUAGGGCUUUCCCUUCGGGGACAGAGUGACAGGUGGUGCAUGGUUGUCGUCAGCUCGUGUCGUGAGAUGUUGGGUUAAGUCCCGCAACGAGCGCAACCCUUGAUCUUAGUUGCCAGCAUUCAGUUGGGCACUCUAAGGUGACUGCCGGUGACAAACCGGAGGAAGGUGGGGAUGACGUCAAAUCAUCAUGCCCCUUAUGACCUGGGCUACACACGUGCUACAAUGGACAGAACAAAGGGCUGCAAGACCGCAAGGUUUAGCCAAUCCCAUAAAUCUGUUCU
Molecule: ribosomal RNA, 736 nt
Filed under: Bacillus pumilus
Lineage: Bacteria; Bacillati; Bacillota; Bacilli; Caryophanales; Bacillaceae
Description: bacterial SSU rRNA
Rfam family: Bacterial small subunit ribosomal RNA
Source: RNAcentral